This is a long non-coding RNA of Dermacentor albipictus, 708 nucleotides long. RefSeq lists it as uncharacterized. NCBI's taxonomy places the organism in Eukaryota, Metazoa, Arthropoda, Arachnida, Ixodida, Ixodidae. The record is from RefSeq and is a predicted model, not a curated record.
AACGGAGAAAUAUUGCUCAUCUGCCGAACCAAACCAUACGCUCGGAUCCAGCAGAAAUUCACACACCUGGUUCUGACACUACAGAAUGAAGGUCCCGCUUUACAGAGCAUUUUUUUUCAUCGCGUGGGCGCACUUCGCCUCUUGCAAAACACCGUGCAAGAAUUCCUGCCUACGGGAGUGGUGCCCAGCGCUUAGGGAUACAGCAACCAACGAAGCAAUUAGUGCUGCCGCUGUUGAUCCGGAGAUUCUGGCGGUUUUUGAGGAGACUUUCCAGGAAACGUGUGCACAAGCUUGGUGCCCUGCAUUCCAUAUUCCUUGCUGGAACAGGUGGCUUCAAGGUGCGGUUCAGGAUCCAGAACUGCUAACCACUGAGGCGACCACUGAGGCUACAACGACACCCCAAGAAACGAAAAGCCCAAAGAGAGAAGAACCAGGAAAAGAAGAAAAUGAAGGACACGAUGUUUCGCACGCAUUAGACUAUGGAAAAGCGGGGUUUUAUCUCGGCUGCAGAGAUGCUAAAGGCAACCCUUACGCAGACGGAAAGGGUUGUGUGCUACACAUCUAUGGUAACCGUCGCGAUAAGCAUACAACGCUGCUUCGUAGCUGCAUAGUUGGAAAGUGCAAGAACGGAAGAUGCAUACAUGAUGGUGGCGCCAAUUGCGGUAUAUACUAGGAUACCCUGCCGAACGGCUGACAAUAAAAUAUUUU